This 1343-nucleotide ribosomal RNA is filed under the name uncultured bacterium. Its description in RNAcentral is "16S ribosomal RNA". It matches the Rfam family "Bacterial small subunit ribosomal RNA", at positions 28 to 1378 of the family's 1533-position model. The record is from RNAcentral.
GACGAACGCUGUCGGCGUGCUUAACACAUGCAAGUCGAACGGAAAGGCCCUGCUUUUGUGGGGUGCUCGAGUGGCGAACGGGUGAGUAACACGUGAGUAACCUGCCCUUGACUUUGGGAUAACUUCAGGAAACUGGGGCUAAUACCGGAUAGGAGCUCCUGCUGCAUGGUGGGGGUUGGAAAGUUUCGGCGGUUGGGGAUGGACUCGCGGCUUAUCAGCUUGUUGGUGGGGUAGUGGCUUACCAAGGCUUUGACGGGUAGCCGGCCUGAGAGGGUGACCGGCCACAUUGGGACUGAGAUACGGCCCAGACUCCUACGGGAGGCAGCAGUGGGGAAUAUUGCACAAUGGGCGGAAGCCUGAUGCAGCAACGCCGCGUGCGGGAUGACGGCCUUCGGGUUGUAAACCGCUUUCGCCUGUGACGAAGCGUGAGUGACGGUAAUGGGUAAAGAAGCACCGGCUAACUACGUGCCAGCAGCCGCGGUGAUACGUAGGGUGCGAGCGUUGUCCGGAUUUAUUGGGCGUAAAGGGCUCGUAGGUGGUUGAUCGCGUCGGAAGUGUAAUCUUGGGGCUUAACCCUGAGCGUGCUUUCGAUACGGGUUGACUUGAGGAAGGUAGGGGAGAAUGGAAUUCCUGGUGGAGCGGUGGAAUGCGCAGAUAUCAGGAGGAACACCAGUGGCGAAGGCGGUUCUCUGGGCCUUUCCUGACGCUGAGGAGCGAAAGCGUGGGGAGCGAACAGGCUUAGAUACCCUGGUAGUCCACGCUGUAAACGGUGGGUACUAGGUGUGGGGUCCAUUCCACGGGUUCCGUGCCGUAGCUAACGCUUUAAGUACCCCGCCUGGGGAGUACGGCCGCAAGGCUAAAACUCAAAGGAAUUGACGGGGCCCCGCACAAGCGGCGGAGCAUGCGGAUUAAUUCGAUGCAACGCGUAGAACCUUACCUGGGUUUGACAUGGAUCGGGAGUGCUCAGAGAUGGGUGUGCCUCUUUUGGGGUCGGUUCACAGGUGGUGCAUGCCUGUCGUCAGCUCGUGUCGUGAGAUGUUGGGUUAAGUCCCGCAACGAGCGCAACCCUUGUUCACUGUUGCCAGCACGUUAUGGUGGGGACUCAGUGGAGACCGCCGGGGUCAACUCGGAGGAAGGUGGGGAUGACGUCAAGUCCUCAUGCCCCUUAUGUCCAGGGCUUCACGCAUGCUACAAUGGCUGGUACAGAGAGUGGCGAGCCUGUGAGGGUGAGCGAAUCUCGGAAAGCCGGUCUCAGUUCGGAUUGGGGUCUGCAACUCGACCUCAUGAAGUCGGAGUCGCUAGUAAUCGCAGAUCGGCAACGCUGCGGUGAAUACGUUCCCGGG